CAGUAGCCGCGGGAAUACGAAGGGUGCAAGCGUUACUCGGGACUACUGGGCGUAAAGCGUGCGUAGGUGGUGGUUUAAGUCCGUUGUGAAAGCCCUGGGCUCAACCUGGGAAUUGCAGUGGAUACUGGGUCACUAGAGUGUGGUAGAGGAUAGUGGAAUUUCCGGUGUAGCAGUGAAAUGCGUAGAGAUCGGAAGGAACAUCUGUGGCGAAGGCGACUACCUGGACUGAUACUGACACUGAGGUGCGAAAGCGUGGGGAGCAAACAGGAUUAGAUACCCCUGUAGUCCCUGUCUCUUAUAC
RNAcentral lists this ribosomal RNA (301 nucleotides) under uncultured bacterium. RNAcentral describes it as "partial 16S ribosomal RNA". It matches the Rfam family "Bacterial small subunit ribosomal RNA", at positions 509 to 807 of the family's 1533-position model. The record is from RNAcentral.